GCUUCUAUAGUAUAAUGGUUAUUACACCUCCUUUGUAAUGAGGAUAUAUCGGUUCGAUUCCGAUUAGAAGCUCA
RNAcentral lists this transfer RNA (74 nucleotides) under Bacteriophage sp. RNAcentral describes it as "tRNA-Thr". It matches the Rfam family "tRNA". From Rfam's summary of the family: Transfer RNA (tRNA) molecules are approximately 80 nucleotides in length. Their secondary structure includes four short double-helical elements and three loops (D, anti-codon, and T loops). The record is from RNAcentral.